RNAcentral lists this non-coding RNA (24 nucleotides) under Arabidopsis thaliana (thale cress). The record is from RNAcentral. Lineage: Eukaryota; Viridiplantae; Streptophyta; Magnoliopsida; Brassicales; Brassicaceae.
ACUGUGAUAGGACCGUCAGAGGAA